Molecule: RNA transcript, 1615 nt
Organism: Myotis lucifugus (little brown bat)
Lineage: Eukaryota; Metazoa; Chordata; Mammalia; Chiroptera; Vespertilionidae
Exons: 6
Source: RefSeq, a predicted model, not a curated record
GAGGGAGGAGGAGUUGGCUUUAAAUCCUGAUGUACAUUUGGUGCUUACAAAUCUUACGCAGUUCUCGUCACUGUAUAUUGAGAGCUGCAAGGAUUGAAGGAGAAAAGGUGCGCACAGUGCCAGCAUGUAGUCCAUGUACAUGUCCCUUCCCAAGGGCUCGCCCUCCUCUUGAGGGUCUAGACUCCCGGAGCCUUGCUUUCCUGUGUUUCCAAUUUGGCUGCUGCGCUGGAGCCCUUGUUUUCCCCAGUGAAAGGGGAGUGGUGAAAGGAGCUGGAAGUCUGCUGUCUGCCCACAGCCCGCAGCGGUCUCUUCAGGUCGUGUGUGGCCUUGGCAUCACUCUGAAGAGCCUUCAUGAGAAACCAUUGGAUUUGACGCAUGACCGACCAGCUAGAGACAGGCUGUCAUUAGCUCUGGAUUUGUUUGAAGAUCUGACCACUCUGUCUACUCAAAUGCCUUGCUGUGAGACUUGGUUGGGGUUUGUCCAUGGGGGCAGGUGUCUCCAUGCUCCUGUUUGGAGGAGCAGGGACUGGACACGCCAGCCCUGUGUUCCUGGCGGCAUCUUUGGCUAUGAAACAACACACCAGCUACUGCACAACCAGAACCCCAACCAUUCGGAGAGUUCACCACUUUUCGAAAUGCGACAUCAGACCCCAAGAGGCAGCACUCACUGGACUACCGUGGACGCCUGCUGUCCUCGCCAUGGAAGACUCGGGACCCUGACGGUGGUAACAGCUGAAGCCAGCAGUGGGUAGAGAGAGUCACAUCGGAAAUGUCUCAGCUCUGAAAGCCUGCUUCGUUCACAUUCUCCUAGAAACCACACAGUGGUUCUCACCAUGGUACUCCAGAGCCCUCUGUCCUUUGCACUAAAGGCACACGUUUGUUCUUUUGAACUAACCAGAAAGUCUGUGCCCCAGGCUGCCAAUGAGGUCACCAAGAGAUAAAAGCCAGAGAGUCUGCCUAAUCACCAAGCUUUUACAAUGAGAAUGGACUAAGUAAAGUUGUGGGCUAGGAAGUGACGGAGGCCCUGGUAUCAUCCCCAUUUGUUUUCCGGAGAACAGAGCUCUGGAGCAGUUAAACGGGGGAGCCGUCAUCCACACCUGGGUCUGUCUCACUCUGCACCCCAUGCCCUCAACUGUCUCAUGAUACUGAUCACAGCCUGAAGACCAACGAAUUAACUAUUUUCAUGAAGGUAAAAUAAAUCUCACAUUAAUUUGUAUUAUUGAUGGGUGGAUAAAGAAAAUGUAUAGAUACAAAAAAUAUUCAGCCACAAAAAAGAGAAGGAAACGCUGCCACUUGUGACAACAUGGAUGGACUUUGAGGGCAUUAUGCUAAGUGAAAUAAUUCAAAGACAAAUACUGAAUGAUCUCACUUAAUGUGGACCCUAAAAAGAAUAGAUUGGGUGAAGGGGGGAAAAUAUAUGAAGGUGGUCAAAAAUAUUAACUUUCAAUUAGAUUAAAAAAGAAAGCAGAGAUUGCACCUAGCAUUUUCAUGUCUAUUCAUCCAUUAAUAAACAGAAGCCCACUCAACUAAGAGAUAGUAAAACAAAGAGGUAAUUGCUUUUAUGCCUCAUGUUGAUCUAUUUCCACAAUAAACUAUGACAGUGAAUCACCAGCGA